RNAcentral lists this long non-coding RNA (2605 nucleotides) under Amborella trichopoda. RNAcentral describes it as "long non-coding RNA (ATRI_LNC000165)". The record is from RNAcentral. Lineage: Eukaryota; Viridiplantae; Streptophyta; Magnoliopsida; Amborellales; Amborellaceae.
AUCUUCGAACAUUCACUACUAUUUCUACUGAAUUAUCAGAAGGCUGACGUUCUUGAAGUAUGCAGAAACCUUGAUGCCUCUGCUGUCAAUUCCGCCUAAUCUUCCGUGAAUCUAUUUUUUGAAUAAUUAGGUCAUCGUUCUUGGACGGUCCCGAUUGUAUCUUGGCGGAUUUGUCUUUGCAACAUCAACGACAAUCAUCCACCCAUUGAUGAUCUGAAAAAGUCAUCGAUCAGCAAUCAGAUAUAGAGAGAGAGAGAGAGAGAGAGAGAGAGAGAGAGUAGACCUAAUCUAGCUGNNNNNNNNNNNNNNNNNNNNGGUGUGGAUAAUAUAUUGUAAAAUGCACUAGUUCUGAUACUUAAAAUCUUUUUAUUUUUCAUAGUCAUACAUCUCGAUGUCUAGAUGAUCAAACAAAGGGUUUUUCAACAUUAAAACUACCUUUUCCCAUGGAUUUUUGAGGGGCAUAUGUAGUUCUACAUUAUAAGGUAACAUCCUUAUAUAAACUUUUUCCAUAAUAGAGAGAAACAUUUAAAUUUUUAAGAGGAGAGAAAAUAUUUUAAAUACGGGCUUGCCACUUUAGGAAAGAGAAAAAAAAUAUUUUUAGCUUGGGGAAUUAUGUGUACUCCUUCUGAUCUCAUAUUAUGUAGAUUGCUUCAUUUUCAAGAAAUAAAAAAAUUUAAGUAUAAUAAAAAUGAAUUAUGAGUUCUUGAAGGCCUCAAUCCAACAACUCAUGAAAUGGAAGGCCUUUCAAUGAGUUCAAAGAAAAGAAUUUGUUGGGGCUUUCCCAAAUUAUUUUUUUAUUUCCAUAUUCUUUUUAAUAGGCUUCUUUGGAGGAUCCAAAAGAAUUUACACGCCAAAUUUGGGAUUUAUUGUUGCAUUUCUUCUUUUACAUCUAUUACAUAGAUUUUAGAUAAGGAUGCAGUUAGCAUGUAGAAAUGAGAAUCCCCUAAUAAAUUUAGUUUUGAAAUAGUUAAUCCUAAUUUUUAAGGAAUAUAUAAUUUUUAACAUAGAGAUCAAGAAUAUAAAUAAAUAAAUAAAUUUGAAAAAUAGAAAUAAUAAUUCUAUCAAGAAAGCAUUUGGACCGUUAGGUUCAAUUGUUUUUAGAUGGACUACCCAUUUGCAUCAAUUUUUAAGAUGGAUGCUUUAUACCUCUAGACCACAUAUUGCACAAAUGUAGUCCAACCCACAUGAAACAAUUAUAAUAAUCACAAUCACUCUUGUCCGUCAAAUUUCAAAUCAGAUAAUCUUUUAUUAGACUAAAUAUUCAAAAAAAAAUUUAUUGACAGAUACCUUAAACCAUCUAAUUUGACAUCUAAUAGCUAAAAGUAUAUUAUAAUAGAGAAAAGAUUUCUUGAACUUCAUGUCAUACCCUAAGCCGUCCGAUUUGAUAUCUAGUAAGUACCUUGUAAUAAGAUAAAGGAUCUCAUAGCAUACAAUUAGAAAGUUUUAUUGGUAUGGAAAUGAUAAAUUAUGCAAAGUUGUAAUUAAAAAAGAAAUAUUUGUUAUUUUCAAAUUUAAAAAAAUAAUCAUAUAUUUAAUAUUUUAUUUUACACUAUUAAGAACUAGGAACCAGAAAGGAGUUGAAAAAACAAAGGAAAUGAGAAUAUUCAAUACUUGAGCACCAGGCCAAAAUUUGGAUCCUCAAAAUCACAACUCAAAAAAUAAAAUAAACCGGCUCCUAAAAUAUGUGUGGUUCGUAUAAGGAAUCACAACUCAAAAAAUAAAAUAAACCAGCUCCUAAAAUAUGUGUGGUUCGUAUAAGGCUGAGGUCCUAAAGAAUCAAAGUAAAGUAAAACGCACCUUUAAAUAGCAUCAAUAUUGAAAAUCUUGAUGAUACCCUCAAAUUUUAUUUUUAUCUCUAAUUACAAAAUUUAAAACUUCAAAAUUAAUAUAGAUCAAAUAAAUCUAUAAACACUUGAAAAUCUUGAAAAUUGACUGUCCAUUAAGUACAUUACAAACUGCACCAUUUCCAAUAAUUAAAAUCCAUUUUUUUUCAUUUUCAUACAUCUUGAGAUCUUGAGAUCAAGAUGAUCAAUUUGAAGAAUUUUAGGCAUCAAAACAACCUCUUCUAGUGCACCUUAAUUCGAUUGUUUAGAGCCUCAUCCUUAUAUAAACGUUUUUCCUGAAACAUUGUAGAGGAUCACUAAAUUUUGGUCCACUCCACCAAUUACUCGUGAUAUAUUAAACCCAAAAAUUGGCUAGUCUUUUGAACUCAAAAUACUGCAAAUAUUUGGAGUUCCCCUUUGAAUAUGCAGUGGGGGAGCUCACAAAAAAUAUACAAAAGCUCGGACCAGGCAAUUUCACAUUCUCCCAUCAACUUAAUAGUAACCCAUCUCUUACAGGAAGAGCUGACAUCUUCGAGCAUUCACUACUAUUUCUAUGCAGAAACCUUGAUGCCUCUGCUGUCAAUUCCGCCUAAUCUUCCGUGAAUCUAUUUUUUGAAUAAUUAGGUCAUCGUUCUUGGACGGUCCCGAUUGUAUCUUGGCGGAUUUGUCUUUGCAACAUCAACGACAAUCAUCCACCCAUUGAUGAUCUGAAAAAGUCAUCGAUCAGCAGUCAGAUAUAGAGAGAGAGAGAGAGAGAGAGAGAGAGAGUAGCCUAAUCUAGC